RNA transcript from Gossypium raimondii (Peruvian cotton), 1233 nucleotides. It is a transcript of the gene named ras-related protein Rab7, with no coding region annotated. The transcript is spliced from 8 exons. The record is from RefSeq and is a predicted model, not a curated record. Lineage: Eukaryota; Viridiplantae; Streptophyta; Magnoliopsida; Malvales; Malvaceae.
UUUUUAAGCGAAUGCAAAUUAGAUUUCAAAUAGGGGCAUUUUUGGAAAAGAAUCGAGUUUGGGUGGCAGAAAACUGAAGAACUUGUAACUGUUUGCAACAGAAUUUGGAUUUUUUUUGGAGGAAAAGAUCACUCGAAUUUUCAGUUCCUCUUAAGUUUCUCUGAAAUUAUAGAUGUUAUUAAAAAUAUAUAUAAAAUACUAAGCUUAAUAAUCAAAGUCGAAAUUGAAUCCCAUGGCUUCUUGUCGGCGUAUGCUUCUAAAGGUCAUAAUUCUCGGUAACAGUGGGGUUGGAAAGACAUCUCUCAUGAAUCAGUAUGUUAAUCGUAAGUUUAGUAAUCAGUACAAAGCGACGAUCGGAGCCGAUUUUUUGACAAAAGAGGUUCAAUAUGAAGAUAGACUGUUUACAUUGCAGAUAUGGGAUACUGCUGGGCAGGAAAGAUUUCAAAGUUUAGGUGUGGCCUUCUAUCGAGGUGCCGAUUGCUGUGUACUCGUGUAUGACGUAAAUGUAAUGAAGUCCUUUGAUAAUCUUAAUAAUUGGCGUGAAGAGUUUCUGAUUCAGGCCAGUCCAUCUGACCCCGAAAAUUUUCCGUUUGUUGUGCUGGGAAAUAAGGUUGAUGUUGAUGGUGGCAAUAGUCGAGUGGUUUCUGAAAAGAAAGUAAAAGCAUGGUGUGCUUCAAAGGGAAACAUACCGUAUUUUGAGACCUCUGCAAAAGAAGGAUUCAAUGUUGAUGCAGCAUUUGAGUGCAUAACUAAAAAUGCUUUGAAAAAUGAACCUGAAGAAGAAAUAUACAUUCCUGAAACCAUUGAUGUUGCGGGUGGUGGACGGUCACGGAGAUCAACAGGGUGUGAGUGUUAAGAGUCGUGGACGGGUCUCUUUUUUAUUCGACUGCAAAAACAGCUGGAGUGGAUAUCUUCAUUACCAGGUACCAAGUAAUUGUAUAGCCAAGUGGAGUUCAAGCUGCCCUGAAGCUUGGGUUGAGUCGAUUGCGAUAAAAAACCAAACUAUUUGAGUGACCUCACUCAAUUAGAUUAAGAUAGUUUUACCUAGGAAAAUAUUAUUGGCUUUCUAUCUCACUUCAAAUUUAAUUAUCUAUACUAUUAUUUAAAUAUAUGACUGAGUUGAAAUCACAAAUUAAUUUGUACUAAAAAAAACAAUAACUCAAUACCAACUCUUCUUUCCCUGUGUAAGUACAAGCUUAAUUAGAAGAUUAUUGAUAAAUAUCUUGAGACUGA